GGUCGCCGUUCCUCACUACGGAUCGUCCGGCACGUACCUGCCGGUGAAGGAGCACGAAC
Curtobacterium sp. Leaf261 is the source of this 59-nucleotide regulatory RNA element. It matches the Rfam family "msiK RNA". The record is from Rfam. NCBI's taxonomy places the organism in Bacteria, Bacillati, Actinomycetota, Actinomycetes, Micrococcales, Microbacteriaceae.